GCUAAGGUGUUGCUAUGGUAUCUGGGGUGGUUGCUAAGGUGUUUCUAAGUGGUUGCUAGGUGGUUGCUAAGGUGUUGCUAUGGUAUCUGGGGUGGUUGCUAAGGUGUUUCUAGGUGGUUGCUAGGUGGUUGCUAAGGUGUUGCUAUGGUAUCCGGGGUGGUUGCUAAGAUGUUGCUAGGUGGUUGCUAAGGUGUUGCUAUGGUAUCUGGGGUGGUUGCUAAGGUGUUUCUAGGUGGUUGCUAGGUGGUUGCUAAGGUGUUGCUAUGGUAUCCGGGGUGGUUGCUAAGAUGUUGCUAGGUGGUUGCUAAGGUGUUGCUAUGCGGUUGCUAAGGUGUUGCUAUGGUAUCUGGGGUGGUUUCUACGGUGUUGCUAGGCAGUUGCUAACGUUUUCCAGGUGGUUGCUAAGGUGUUGCUAAGUGGUUGCUAGGCAGUUGCUAACGUUUUCCAGGUGGUUGCUAAGGUGGUUGCUAAGCAGUUAUUAGGUGGUUGCUAAGCCCUGGCUGGGGUGCCGGGGUGUCCAAACUUUUGACUGAUAGCUGCUCCAUACAGCAGCUCCUCCAUACACUCACAGUACUGGAGGAGCAGGGGAGAGAAGGGGUUCCGUGCGCAGAGCUGCUCGUGUGUGAGAUGGAACUCUGGGCCCCCCAUUCAUUUCAAUGGGAAAACUUCGUACGACAUUUGUACGAAAACCGUACGACGUAUCGUCGAAACGUUAAAAUUUUCGGAAAGAACGCGGUAAGGUCUAUAGACCGUCCGAUUUUUGUAUUUGUAUGUCAAAAAUUGUGGCGGUUACGGACGUUUAAAAUUUCGCCCCAUUCAUUCCUAUGGGAAAAAAAUGCGUACGUUUACGAAGUUUUUACGAAAACCGUACGAUGUAUCGCUUAAAAAAGCACAAGCAACCUAUUCGGGUAUAGGUUCUACGAUACUGCAAAGUUUCGUGGUUCUACGUCAAAAGCCCUAGGAGGAGAUAGUGAUUAAAUUUUGCGAAUAGAAUAAUAAUAAUAAGAAUAAGAUUACGAAGAACAAUAAGUUGGCUUUUCCAAGCCAACUU
Long non-coding RNA from Astyanax mexicanus (Mexican tetra), 1051 nucleotides. RefSeq lists it as uncharacterized. The transcript is spliced from 4 exons. Lineage: Eukaryota; Metazoa; Chordata; Actinopteri; Characiformes; Acestrorhamphidae. The record is from RefSeq and is a predicted model, not a curated record.